Molecule: long non-coding RNA, 732 nt
Organism: Coffea eugenioides
Lineage: Eukaryota; Viridiplantae; Streptophyta; Magnoliopsida; Gentianales; Rubiaceae
Exons: 4
Source: RefSeq, a predicted model, not a curated record
GAGAAAAACAACCUGACGGUGACGAACUUUGACUGAAAAGAAUUCCAGUCUUCUAGUUGACCCCCAGUUACCGGGUCGCCAAGAACAGGAAGAAUGGCACAAGCCUGAGAAGCAAAUGGAAGCCUUGGAAAGCAGAAUGUUUUCUGAAGAAAAUGGCUUCUCUACAGUUUCUGGUCUCUGGGAAAAGGAUUAUAUGGUGUGUAAUGGGCACCUCUUAGUGUACGAAGGAUCUGAUGCAAACGGAUCACUGGGUUAGAAGGCAUAUUUGGGUGCCUAUGCGGGGUUCUUCUGUCACCAUAGUGAACAUUUCUCCAUUUCUUAUGAUAGGUUGAAUCAAGCUUUCAGCUUAGCUCUAAGGCACUAGUAGAUCUUUUGGAAUCUUCUUGCAGCAGUUGCCAAAAACACUGGCAUUGACGGGUUCAUACUCCUUUCGAAGAAGGACGCUGCAGAGCUGUCAAAGUAGAAUCUGGUAAAAGCAACUUGAUGGGUUCAAUGGGAUUAUGCAGUCAAAUGUGCACUGCCCAUAUGGACGGGAUGGAACAUUAGCAUUUCAAUGGCAACGUGGAUGCCAUAUUUGAUGUCUACAGUCUUGCUACUUUCUCUUUGCUUGCUAUUUGGAUUGUCUCGUAACUACCGGAGUCCUUGCAGAUGUUUGUAGGAAGAAUUUACCUGGAAUACAAUGUCAUGCUGACAAUAAGGGCCAGAGAACGAAAUUGGGCCCACAAGGAAUAC